RNAcentral lists this ribosomal RNA (433 nucleotides) under uncultured bacterium. RNAcentral's name for it is "partial 16S ribosomal RNA". It matches the Rfam family "Bacterial small subunit ribosomal RNA", at positions 29 to 507 of the family's 1533-position model. The record is from RNAcentral.
AGCGAACGCUGGCGGCAGGCCUAACACAUGCAAGUCGAACGAACUCUUCGGAGUUAGUGGCGGACGGGUGAGUAACACGUGGGAACGUGCCUUUAGGUUCGGAAUAACUCAGGGAAACUUGUGCUAAUACCGAAUGUGCCCUUCGGGGGAAAGAUUUAUCGCCUUUAGAGCGGCCCGCGUCUGAUUAGCUAGUUGGUGAGGUAAAGGCUCACCAAGGCGACGAUCAGUAGCUGGUCUGAGAGGAUGAUCAGCCACAUUGGGACUGAGACACGGCCCAAACUCCUACGGGAGGCAGCAGUGGGGAAUCUUGCGCAAUGGGCGAAAGCCUGACGCAGCCAUGCCGCGUGAAUGAUGAAGGUCUUAGGAUUGUAAAAUUCUUUCACCGGGGACGAUAAUGACGGUACCCGGAAAAGAAGCCCCGGCUAACUUCGUG